Non-coding RNA from Macaca mulatta (Rhesus monkey), 86 nucleotides. The record is from Rfam. Lineage: Eukaryota; Metazoa; Chordata; Mammalia; Primates; Cercopithecidae.
GUAGGUUUUUGCUCAUGCACCAUGGUUGUCUGAGCAUGCAGCAUGCUUGUCUGCUCAUACCCCAUGGUUUCUGAGCAGGAAUCUUC